RNAcentral lists this long non-coding RNA (2078 nucleotides) under Prunus persica (peach). RNAcentral describes it as "long non-coding RNA (PPER_LNC003894)". Lineage: Eukaryota; Viridiplantae; Streptophyta; Magnoliopsida; Rosales; Rosaceae. The record is from RNAcentral.
AUGAGCGGCCCCAAUUUUCAUCGUACUCUGAGCCCUCUGCAUAUGACGAAGAGGCUCUCGACAACGAGUACAGCAGCUACGCCCGGCCCACGCACCUACCCGGACCCGCCAUUGGGUUCACUCCAGGUGGAGGCGAUCCCGAGGGAGAGCACGGAGGGAGGCCCCAACCGGCUUAUGGGUUCCAGCCUGGCGGAGAGGAUAGACCCGAGUAUGGAUCCGAGAGGCCCGAUUUGGGUCAUGGGUCUGGGUAUGGUCGGAAGCCGGGGUAUGAACAGCCCGGUUCGGAAUACGGUUCUGGGUAUCGACGGAGACCAGAGUCCGAUGAGCCCAGUUCCGAGUAUGGAUCUGGGUAUGGCCGAAAGCCAGUGUACGAGACGCCUGAACCCGAGUAUGGAUCUGGGUAUGGCCGAAAGCCCGAGUACGAGACGCCUGAACCCGAGUAUGGAUCUGGGUACGGUCGAAAGCCCGAGUACGAGACGCCUGAACCCGAGUAUGGAUCUGGGUACGGGCGAAAGCCCGAGUACGAGGCUCCCGAAUCUGAGCAUGGAUCUGGGUAUGGGCGAAAGCCUGAGUUCGAAGCACCGGGAGCUGGAUUCGGGUCUGGGUAUGAACGGAAGCCGAGUUAUGGCGAGGAGCCUGGUUAUGGAGAUGAGCCGCCGAGAAAGCCAAGCUAUGGGAGGCCCAGUUAUGAGACCUCAGAAAGUGAGGAGAGGACCAAGUAUGAGAGUUCGGGUUAUGGGAAGACUGAGUUUGAGAGACCUGGUUAUGGCGAAGAGCCGCGGAGGAGGCCUAGUUAUGAGAUCCCAGAAAGCGAGGAGAGGCCCAGCUAUGGGAGGCCUGGCUACGGAGAUGAGCCGCCGCCGCCAAGGCCCAGCUAUGGGAGACCUGGCUACGGAGAUGAGCCGCCACCGCCGAGGCCCAGCUAUGGGAGGCCCAGUUAUGAGGGGGAGGAAAGCGCGGAGUAUGAGAAGCCCAGUUAUGGGAGGAGCGAGGAGCAGGAGUACCGCAGGCCUGGUGGUUAUGAGAGGCGCGGUGAUGAUGAUGAAGCUGAGCGUCCUAAGUAUGGUUCUCGUGAGGAAGGCUAUAGUCGCAAGAAAUAUGUGAGAACCUCGAGCUUUAAAACUCCUUUUUUAAUUAUGUGUUUACAUUUAGGCGUCUCUAUGAUAUAAGUUUGAGUCAUGUGGAUUGUUGUUUGUUUGCUUGUCCAUCUUCAUGCAUGCUGUUCAUAAUGUACGUAUCCCCAUUUCCAGUGUGCCAUUAUAUACAUACAAAUCAUGGUAUUUAUAAUGAUCCUCUUUAGCUAAUUUAUCAAUUUGAAUGCAUCAUGGAAAUCAUCUUUUGCGUAUGCAUUGAGUAACUGUUUAUAUUUUUGGUUGGAAAACAUUUUGGAUUGAUCUAUUUGUAUUGGCACUCAUUUAGUAUAAGAUGAGAGCAGAGCUUAUGUGAUUAGUUCUAAACAAUUCAUGUGGUCCAUCUUCAUUACAGUAUCAUAAGUUACAAAUUACAUGCAUAAAAUUUUGGGGGUUGUAGUUGCAAUAAUGAGUCAAAAUAUAUCUUCCAGAGAUAAGACAUCCUGGUUUUGUUUUCUGGUUUUUAUCACCAUUUGAAUCCGAAAACAUUUCUAAUCCUUCUCAAGGCACAAACUUUUUUCUCAAGCUCGAAUCUCUGAAGGUGACUUUAGGUCUAUGAUGUUUCUAUAUCCUCCUCCUAAUGCUUUGGCUUGUGGAUCAUUUGGAUAAAUUCUUGGUGAAAACUGUUUACUCUGUUGUAAGUUCAAUGCUGUUGGUGAGGGGAUCUAAUAGAUGCAUGUAGUGUAGUAGCUGCGCCUCUGGUGAAGGUGGUUUAAAAGUGUAGAACACGUACCUGUUUUUCGAACCCUGUUGGUUAUUUUUAUUUUAUUUUAUCUGAUUCUCUCAAAUGAAUAUGGCAGGGAAAUGACAACUCGGAUGAGGAUGAUGAUGAUGAGGAGAAAAAACGACGUCACCACAAGCACCACCACCGCAAGAGCUAUGAUGAUGAAUGAUCAUAAUCCUUGCCCCUUAAGGGGAUGCAUGCCAUAGCCAUAGCCAUACUUUGAU